AGAAAUCUGAUCAUGCAAUGUCUGCAAAUGGUUACAUUCUGUACCAAAGAACAAAGCCUAUCAAUGUACACGACAGUUUACCAAUCCAGGUGUGGAUAACCAUUCCGUGCAUAACGAAUUAUUAACAAUCAUGUCACUGGUUUAAAGAAGUACAACAGCUAAAACAUAAACACGAAAAUGUAGUCAAACCAGUCACUUAACAUGAGCGUGAAGUUGUGAGCUGUGUCUUCUCGCUGAAGGUAAUUCGCUUUGAAGUUAGAUGCAGCCACCCAACAGAAUGGAUUCAAUUUCCUCCUGAGUAACUGGUGUUCUUUUUGGUUGAUCAGAAGCCUUCCCUGCGACAGACAUGCUAGGUGGGGACCUUGAGAAAAAUGUUCGAGGAGUUUCUUCAGCUGAUGGAGUUUUCUGAUGUUGGGAAUUCUGCGAUGUGGUACCAGAAUGCUUUGAAUGCCUCUGUGGAAACUUGAUUCGUGGAAUUCUCUUCAUUGCCUGCGCUCCACCCAUUGCUUUCUUCUUCGAUUGUAAGAGGAAAAAAAAAUCGA
This 542-nucleotide unclassified non-coding RNA is filed under the name Hevea brasiliensis (rubber tree). Lineage: Eukaryota; Viridiplantae; Streptophyta; Magnoliopsida; Malpighiales; Euphorbiaceae. The record is from RNAcentral.